AAGGAAAAAAAUGCGGCUGGUAGCCCCAUCUCUUGCCACUGGUUUUAUCAUUUCUUCCCUAUCUUUUUUUUUUUUUUUUUCUUGUUGUCUGCCCCAGUGUUGCGGCUCUGUAUUUUUUUGGUGGGGUAAAAUGCAUCAUUUUAAAACUCGUAUGGCUCUAUGUAGUAACAUUCAAGUAAAAAAGGAAGAACGCGACAGCGGGAACUUUGCCAAACCCUAGUUGUUCUUCUUGUGUUUCUUUCUUCUUAUUAUUGAUGGGAGCCAAAAUGUUGUCGUU
This 277-nucleotide non-coding RNA is filed under the name Heterosigma akashiwo. The record is from RNAcentral. Lineage: Eukaryota; Raphidophyceae; Chattonellales; Chattonellaceae.